CCUACGGGAGGCAGCAGUGAGGAAUAUUGGUCAAUGGGCGGAAGCCUGAACCAGCCAAGUAGCGUGCAGGAUGACGGCCCUACGGGUUGUAAACCGCUUUUGCACGGGGAUAACACCCUCCACUUGUGGAGGUCUGCAGGUACCGUGCGAAUAAGGGCCGGCUAAUUCCGUGCCAGCAGCCGCGGUAAUACGGAAGGCCCGAGCGUUAUCCGGAUUCAUUGGGCUUAAAGGGAGCGUAGGCGGGCGUUCAAGUCAGCUGUAACAUCGGGCGGCUCAACCGCGCCCCGCAGUUGAAACUGGACGCCUUGAGUUCACAACAGGCAGGCGGAAUUCGUGGUGUAGCGGUGAAAUGCAUAGAUAGCACGAGGAACCCCGAUUGCGAAGGCAGCCUGCCGGGGUGCGACUGACGCUGAGGCUCGAAGGUGCGGGUAUCAAACAGGAUUAGAUACCCCAGUAGUC
This 459-nucleotide ribosomal RNA is filed under the name uncultured bacterium. Its description in RNAcentral is "partial 16S ribosomal RNA". It matches the Rfam family "Bacterial small subunit ribosomal RNA", at positions 338 to 795 of the family's 1533-position model. The record is from RNAcentral.